GUUUAUAGCAUGGCAGAGAAAAUGCUUCAAAACCAUGAAUUUUUCACCAUUUUCAGAUGUUGUGUGUUAGAGCUGCAGUGAAGCAAUAAUGAUUUACACCGACUGUUGACCCAGACUGGUGAGUUUACUGAAUGACUAAUGGCAUUGGCUUAAAACAGGCAUAGCACUGAUCCUGCCAGUGUCCGCCAAAUGGAAUCCUCUUUUUCCAAAGUACGCAGCAGCUGGCAUGAAGUGAGAAAGGACAUUUGGACUUCAAACCCUGGGAUGCUUUGCUUCUGCUACUGCUGUCCAGUGGAAGUGGCUGAAU
This is a long non-coding RNA of Melopsittacus undulatus (budgerigar), 307 nucleotides long. RefSeq lists it as uncharacterized. The transcript is spliced from 3 exons. The record is from RefSeq and is a predicted model, not a curated record. Lineage: Eukaryota; Metazoa; Chordata; Aves; Psittaciformes; Psittaculidae.